RNAcentral lists this unclassified non-coding RNA (218 nucleotides) under soil metagenome. RNAcentral's name for it is "partial contains 5.8S ribosomal RNA, internal transcribed spacer 2, and large subunit ribosomal RNA". The record is from RNAcentral.
AACUGAUACUACCUGCGGGAACCUGCGGAGGGAUCAUUACAGGACUCGCAAGACUCCUACAACCCUGUGAACCUACUAUACGAACGUUGCUUCGGCGGGUGCGCCCCGGGGAUUCGUUCCCGCGGCGCGUCAGCCCGCCGGCAGCCUACAAAUUCUGUUUCUUUGCGUUGGCAUCUCGAGAAAAACAAAUAAGUUAAAACUUUCAGCAAUGGAUCUCU